RNAcentral lists this ribosomal RNA (496 nucleotides) under uncultured bacterium. RNAcentral's name for it is "partial 16S ribosomal RNA". It matches the Rfam family "Bacterial small subunit ribosomal RNA", at positions 30 to 508 of the family's 1533-position model. The record is from RNAcentral.
AUGAACGCUGGCGGCGUGCCUAAUACAUGCAAGUCGCGCGAACGGACGAGAAGCUUGCUUCUCUGAUGUUAGCGGCGGACGGGUGAGUAACACGUGGAUAACCUACCUAUAAGACUGGGAUAACUUCGGGAAACCGGAGCUAAUACCGGAUAAUAUUUUGAACCGCAUGGUUCAAAAGUGAAAGACGGUCUUGCUGUCACUUAUAGAUGGAUCCGCGCUGCAUUAGCUAGUUGGUAAGGUAACGGCUUACCAAGGCAACGAUGCAUAGCCGACCUGAGAGGGACGGAGCCCCCCGUGAACCAAAGACCGCGCCAGACCCCCACCGGGGGGCGCCGGGGGGAAUCCUGCCGAAAAGGGCAAAGACGGGAGGAAGCACCGCGGGGGGAAGAAGAAGGGUCCAGGAAUGUAAAACCUUUGUAAAAGGGGAGAAACAUAGAUUAAGGAAGCUGGGCACUCCUGGGCGUGCCCUAAUAAAAGAGCCAGGGCAAACUAGGGC